UUUUUUGUAGUGAUAAAUUUAUAUUAUUAAUAGAAGUAUAUUAAAAGAAAAUAAAUAAUAUUUGAAAAACUGAAACUACCAAUCAUUCAUAUUCCUAAUAAUAUUGAUGACAAAAAUGGAUUAUAAUCAAAAUUGUCCUUUGAAAGGAAGGAUGGGUUACUAAAAAUAAAAUGUAAAGGGGCUAGAAAUUGCAAGUUGUGAAAAUACAUGUAUUUGGCGUUACAGCCAUAUGCAUGCAUGUUGUUGCCACUUAUAUUUAAUUAAUACUCCCAAAAACUGGCAAAGCUACCUCAUUUUUAAAUUAUUUAGUAUUUUUUUUAAAUCAACUUGUGAAAUUAAAAUUUGGCUGCAUACCAUUAUUGUUGAAUUUAUUUAGUACAAGAAGUCUUUCCUUUUACUUGCUUGUAUUUUUUUUUCCUUUGUCUGCCACGAAUUUUCAAUGUUAUACCCACCAUCAUAGAUGUUUGCUAUUAAUUUCAAUUAUCA
Molecule: long non-coding RNA, 486 nt
Filed under: Manihot esculenta (cassava)
Lineage: Eukaryota; Viridiplantae; Streptophyta; Magnoliopsida; Malpighiales; Euphorbiaceae
Description: long non-coding RNA (MESC_LNC000593)
Source: RNAcentral